Molecule: ribosomal RNA, 465 nt
Filed under: uncultured bacterium
Lineage: Bacteria
Description: partial 16S ribosomal RNA
Rfam family: Bacterial small subunit ribosomal RNA
Source: RNAcentral
GACGAACGCUGGCGGCGUGCUUAACACAUGCAAGUCGUACGGUAAGGCCCUUUCGGGGGUACACGAGUGGCGAACGGGUGAGUAACACGUGAGUAACCUGCCCACAACUUUGGGAUAACGCUAGGAAACUGGUGCUAAUACUGGAUAUGUGCUCCUGCUGCAUGGUGGGGGUUGGAAAGCUCCGGCGGUUGUGGAUGGACUCGCGGCCUAUCAGCUUGUUGGUGGGGUAGUGGCCUACCAAGGCGGCGACGGGUAGCCGGCCUGAGAGGGUGACCGGCCACAUUGGGACUGAGAUACGGCCCAGACUCCUACGGGAGGCAGCAGUGGGGAAGAUUGCACAAGGGGCGCAAGCCUGAUGCAGAAACGCCGCGUGCGGGAUGACGGCCUUCGGGUUGUAAACCGCUUUCAGCAGGGACGAAGCUUUUUGUGACGGUACCUGCAGAAGAAGCACCGGCUAACUACGUG